Long non-coding RNA from Musa acuminata AAA Group (dessert banana), 1319 nucleotides. RefSeq lists it as uncharacterized. NCBI's taxonomy places the organism in Eukaryota, Viridiplantae, Streptophyta, Magnoliopsida, Zingiberales, Musaceae. The record is from RefSeq and is a predicted model, not a curated record. The transcript is spliced from 4 exons.
GGAAAGCAGAAAGUUUCUUUAUAGCUCUUGACGCUGAAGUCUCCAAGCGGACUUGGGUCAAUACAGGCAAGCAUACUCCAAUACCUUAUAACCCAUGAUGAGCAAGUAGGCGUCUGUAUGAUCUCCAAAAAUAUGCUUUGAUUUUAUCUAACUUUCAUGAUCAGUUUUCAAGGAUUCUUACCGACCUUUUGUGUGUUAUAAAGUUCACAUAACGGAGGAAACAAAUUGACAGAGAACAUUGCUGGAAGCCUACUUAAGAAAUUAUUGUGCAGGUGUGGCUCGGUUCAAUUUGUUGAAGAGUGCGGCACGUUUAGUCUGCACAUUUAUUUAUUGGGCCGAGUCAUAUGGGCCAAACUAAAUCAGAAUAAGUCUCAGACCGUGGGCUUCAAACAGAGUCAAUACCUGACCCAUACGUAUUAGCAGCCCGCUCGGCCCAAGUUGUUGAAGAGAGUGCGGUGACCGCGGUUAUUGUAAGAUCUCGGUCUUCCAACCCUUUUUGGGCGAUUUUAAUUUUUCCGGAGGCCCUUCAGCCUCAAACGGCGUGCGGUAACCUACGGGUGCGGUAUAUAUAUAUAUAUCUCCAAUCCCUCCGCUUAUUUUGCUACUUUGCCGGUGGUUUCUUGGAUUGAAGGGUUAAGCAAGAGGGCGGUGAUAACAAUAACUGUCACUCGUCCUCCUCCCUCUCCUCUCCCACCUCUCCUCCACUGCCGUCUCCACCUCAUCGGCCUCCUGCCACGGCACAGGCAGAGUAUCAAACCCUCUCCCUCUCUCUCUCUCUCUCUCUAAGAGCUUGUGAGUUCGAUGAUCUUCCCGUUUUACCCUCUUCCAGGUUGCUGGUGCCGGUGAUUAAUGAUGGAAAUCUGACGUGGGGCGGCAAUGGGAAGACGCCCAUGAAGCCGGAAUUCCGCCUCUCAUCGUCGCCAGGGACGGGUUCUUUCGCGGACGAUCCUUGUCAGGGGCCAGUUAGCUGAAGCAUCUGAGUUGUAUCUAUCUACUAUCUAGGGUUACAGUGUAUUGUUGUUUACCACGCUAGGGGCACUGGUUUUGGAUAGAAACUCAAUUGUUUGACACAGUAAUGAUGUGCGCUUGAUGAACCAGGGGACGAUUGAUUGUUGGGAGCAUCUUGAAAUGUCUUCAGUCGUUGCCCUAUUCAGUUUUCACUUCCUUCAUGAUCAAGUAAUGAAGCCUUGCCUACCAUAGAGCUAAAAUGGUGGGAAAAGACCGUAGCACUGCAUGCCAUGGCUUAGUAUUUUCGUAAGACAAGUGGUAUCUUGUUCUUGUACUAUAAAAAUAUAAUUUCUUUGAUAUCUUUGUUGAAA